CCUACGGGUGGCAGCAGUGAGGAAUAUUGGUCAAUGGUCGGGAGACUGAACCAGCCAAGCCGCGUGAGGGAGGAAUGUACUGCGUAUCGUAAACCUCUUUUGUCAGGGAAUAAAGACUGGGACGCGUCCCCUUAUGAGUGUACUUUAUGAAUAAGGAUCGGCUAACUCCGUGCCAGAAGCCGCGGUAAUACGUAGGGGGCAAGCGUUAUCCGGAUUUGCUGGGUGUAAAGGGGGCGCAGGCGGCCGUGCAAGUCAGGAGUCAAAGCCCGGGGCCCAACCCCGGGCCUGCUGUUGAAACUGGGAGGCUGGAGUUGAGGAGGGGCAGGCGGAAUGCGUGGUGUAGCGGUGAAAUGCGUAGAUAUCAGGAGGAACACCGGUGGCGAAGGCAGCCUGCUGGACUGAAACUGACGUUGAGGCCCGAAAGCGUGGGUAGCAAACAGGAUUAGAUACCCGUGUAGUC
This 460-nucleotide ribosomal RNA is filed under the name uncultured bacterium. RNAcentral's name for it is "partial 16S ribosomal RNA". It matches the Rfam family "Bacterial small subunit ribosomal RNA", at positions 338 to 795 of the family's 1533-position model. The record is from RNAcentral.